Molecule: long non-coding RNA, 295 nt
Filed under: Homo sapiens (human)
Lineage: Eukaryota; Metazoa; Chordata; Mammalia; Primates; Hominidae
Description: HSALNT0357733
Source: RNAcentral
CUGGGCUGAACCCUGCCUGGAGAGCUGUCCCUGCAAGCUGAACUAACAGAAGAUGAAGAAUGAGGUCUCCCUGAAAUGCCCACCAUAAGACUGCCAGAUAUGGGACUGCUGGAUGACACUCUGGCUACCCCACUGAGUUUUAUGAAAACAUAACAGAAUAAAGACACUUACUUGUCAACUCAGUUACAAGCUAUUGAGGCACUCCAGAGUGACGGCAUGUGAUCCCCCUGACACAAGAAACAGGCCCAGAUAACACACCGUUCAGACCGACAGCAGUUCUGGUUAUGCUGCAGUA